This 2510-nucleotide unclassified non-coding RNA is filed under the name Daphnia magna. RNAcentral describes it as "uncharacterized LOC123472498, transcript variant X2". The record is from RNAcentral. Lineage: Eukaryota; Metazoa; Arthropoda; Branchiopoda; Diplostraca; Daphniidae.
UAGCAUGGCAAACACGUGAAAAUCUACAUGGUUUUUCAGAAAUACGGUUUUAACAGUUUCGAAUCGCGUUUCAUAUGCUAAUUUAAGCAAAAACUCCGUUUCAAAAAUAAAUCAAAUAUUUUCGGUAGGGGCCGCAUAGUGUGACUUGACUAGCAGCAAUCGAGUACCAUCGUGGUGUGUAUGUAGUAAUCGUCACAGGAGUAGUCGGAAACAUCGGGUAUCCCCCACCCGAAGUUUCUUCAGUAACCUGACCCAGAAGAAUCUGUACCUAGCGGAGGUUUCUUCCAGCUUAAAUGUUCUCACAUUUCACGUGAUAUACCAUCAUAUUGUGCGUAUACCACGGGAGUAUACUCACGAAUAUCACAAUAUUGGAUGGGGGACCAUCCUCACAGAAAUGAUCACAGACAUUCUCGCAUCUGUUUCCAGUCCUAGGCCAUCUGGACGAUCAAGAAGUCUAGCCAGCUCUGCGACGCCUCCUACAGCACACAUGCAACGCGAUGGGACUAAAUUGCGUAUUCAAGCCGGCUUAGGAAUGGAAUGUGCAAUUACAGGUGCUUUGCGCGCAGAUCUCGCCACCAGCCUUACCUUUAACUGCACAUUCCAUUCGCCUCUUGUACUAUACAAUUGUGGGAUUUCCCGCAACUGCUUAGUCACCAGCUUUCCCUACCUUGCCUUAAAAUGAGUUAUCAACCCUUUUAUACAGUGAAUUUUGAUGGUAAAACACCAUUGGCGACCAGAUGAGUGAUUGGUGGAUUUAACUGUUUUUUUACGUAACCUCAGAUCACAAACUUGAAAACGAAAAAGUGAACUAUAUUCGGAAACUUUCAUUCUUCUUAUCUGUCAACAUUCAAAGAUGAUACGCUAAUUAAUAGAUUUAUAAAAAGAGUUAUGCUAUUCACCUAUUUGCCUCCUAACCUACGUCUACGCAGGAUUCAGCCUCCUCGGCUGAUUGGCAGGCAGAUGAUGAGUGGUACAGUAGGUGUGGUUAACAUUUCUAAAACGUAACUUUUGAUCAACAAUUCAUAAGCGAAGAAGUGAAGCAGAGAACUAAAUAAUUUAACUUUGAUUCUCUUUAUAUGUCAACGUCAAAAAACAGUAUUCUAUAAAGAGUUGUGCCAUUGACCUAUUGGGGACUAGGUAAGGCGAGGUGAGCGAUUGCUUCGGAGUAUACGCCCUGCGGCCGAUAUUGGAACUAAAAUGCCUUUGUACAUGAACCAAUCGGGCACACACAAAAAACGGACAAGAAGCAUAUUGCAGUAUAAUAAUUUAUUUCAUUCUUCACUUUUUUAGGAAAGUUGUUAGGAUGUGUCUGAACAAUGUUUCAAAAAAAUCGCGGCGUUAAUAUUUUUCUAAAAACAUUAUAUCUUUCCUGAAACUUGCUUCCUGAAAACGAAUUUACGAAGAAAAAGGAACACGCCGGUAGAUUGACAUGGAACAUUUUCGAUGAAAGAAUUAAAAAUGGUUCAAACUAGAAAUGGUUACCGUAACGAGACAUCAUCGAGAAGGACGUCAGUAAGCAUACCAGAACAUAAAUUGAAAGAGUCUGCGAUGUCCCCGCCCCGAUCAAUCCAACCAAUAUCAUCGGAAGUUAAUUUGGAUGAAGCCAAUCAAAUUGCGAUCAUCCUUUUCUUUUGUUUAACGCACAUAGUCACACCAGCGCUUAAAGCAUUUCUAUGCGACAACGGCUUACUGUUACCCGCCACUAUUGACUAUGACUAUGCGAAAAUGUGCCACGUUUAGGAAAGCUAUCAACGCGCGCAACGAUAUAUGUCAUCUGAAAUAUCUAUCACUAAGCGAAUACUGGAAGCAGUACACCUCCGUCUGGAGGACAUUGUGUCUCAGUAUUGGCAACCCGGAGGCCGCCGUCAAAGUGCAAGUCAUCUACAACUUCUUGAUUAUGCGUGAAUAUAGAGGAGCAAUCGAGAACCAAGUUUUUCUCCUAACCAGUCAAGAUUAUAAUGUAAACGUAGGUUUUGGUCUUGGUUGCAUUUUGUUCGGUUGCCUCACCAAGUACGUGGCUCCGUCUCUGCGGAAUUUUCUAAUCGACGAGAAGAAUCAAUCUACAUCAACGGCUCUCGAUGCUUUUGAUAAUUUAAAACACGUGAUUUCAGAGCAAAAGUGUGAUUCUAAUUACCUCUCAAAGGGAGGAGAUAUCAGAAAUGAUAUUGCGCUUCUUAAGCUAUCUAUGAAGGCUAGGAAUAAUUCAUGUCAUGGAUUUUUUUCUUUAGUCUUUCAGUACUGGGAAAAUUAUUUGGAAGCCUGGAUACAGCUCAUGGAGAUAAUCAACGCUCGAACAGCAUCUGCAGAAAUGCAAGGUAUACUAGAAACUCUCAUGACUUCUAUGAACGAAAAUCAACAAAUACAUCUAGCAAACGUUCUUUCUUGGCUCACUAAUCCAGUGAUUCCGGAUAUCUUAACCGACACACUAUAAAUCCAGUUUGGUUGAUGCAACGCUUUUUGAUUUCGUGUUUAAUUUUUAAAUCGAUUUCAAUAAAAAGAAUUCACACAAA